CAAGUCAACAUAGUUCAGUCUGACAUGAUGGGUUCAGCUCAUGUUGAGUACGAUUUACAGUGGGUUGAAUUGAGUUUUCUUAUAUGAAUAGUUAGAUAUAGAUUAAGCACAUCAAAUGAUGAACAAACGGUUGUGGCUUAGUCCUUUGUAAUUUCUCUGUCCGCUCGACAAGUUCUUUUGCUGCGUGCAUUAAUUCCUAUCCUUUCUUUUUGGGCUGAUCUUGCUACUAAAUGUAAUGCAUUGACCUAGUUGGCGACCUAUUUGUUGGUUAUAUUGAUUUAUGCAGGUUCAUUUAUUUUUUGUUAAACUAACUUUUCGCGGAAACCGCUCCAAUGAAGCUAGAUUAA
Molecule: long non-coding RNA, 347 nt
Filed under: Phoenix dactylifera (date palm)
Lineage: Eukaryota; Viridiplantae; Streptophyta; Magnoliopsida; Arecales; Arecaceae
Description: long non-coding RNA (PDAC_LNC020121)
Source: RNAcentral